GACCUGGAAAGCUGCUAGUUUUGAAUGGGGCCCAGAACAGGAUAAGGCAGAGGCAACAGGUCCAGGCUGCUGUGCAAGCUACUCUGCCAUUUGGGCCAUAUGACCCAGCAGAUCCAAUGGUGCUGGAGGGGUCAGUGGCAGAUAAGGAUGCUGUUUGAAGCCUUUCAUUGGUCCCCAUAGAUAAAUUGCAGCAAAGGCCCUUAGGAUUUUGGGAGCAAGGCCUUGCCAUCAUCCACAAAUAAUGACCCUUCUUUUGAGAGGCAGUCUUGGCCUGCUACUAGGCCUUAGUAGAAACUGAACAUUUGACCAUGGGCCACCAAGUAACUAUGCAACCUGAGCUGACCAUCAUUAACUAGGUGUUAACUGACCCACCAAGCCAUAACGUUGGGCAUACACAGCAGCCCUCUAUCAUCAAAUGGAAGUGAUAUACACAUAACUGGGCCCAAGCAGGUUCUGAAGCACAAGUAAGUUACACAAAGUGACCCAAAUGCCCCUGGUUCCAACUACACUGCCUCAGCCUGCACCAAUGGCCCCAUGGGGAGUAUCCUAUGAUCAAUUGAUAGAGGUCCCAGUUUACAGGUGGUUCUGCAUAAUAUGCAGGCACCAUCCAAAAGUGGACAGUUUCAGCAAUACCAUCCCUUUGUGGGACAUCUUUAGAGGAUAGCGGUGAAGAGAAAUCUCAGUGUGUAGAACUUUGGACAGUGCACCACGUUGUACACUUUGCUUGGAUGGAGAAAUGGCCAGAUGUGGAAUUAUAUACCAAUUCAUGAACUGUAACCAAUGGUUUGGCCAGAUGGUCAGAGAAUUGAAAGAAACAUAAUUGGAAAAUUGGUGACAAAGAAAUUUGGGGAAGAGAUAUGUGGAUGGACCUGAGUGGGAAAAAGAUGUGAAGAUGAUUAUGUCCUUUGCCAAUGCUCACCAAAGUGUGAUCUCAGCAGAGGAGGACUAAUAAUCAAGGAGAUGGGAUGACCCAUUCUGUGGAUACUAGUCACCCUCUUUCCCCAGCUACCCCUACCAUCAUCCAAUGGACUCAAGAAUAAAUUGCCCAGCGUGGCAGAGAUGGAAGUCAUGUAUGAGUUCAGCAACAUAGACCUCCACUUAGCAAAGCUGACCUGGCUACAGUCACCUCUGAGGGCUCAAUCUGCCAGCAGCCAAGACCCACACUGAGCCCUUGAUACAGUAUCAUUGGCUUCGGUGGAUCAGCCAGCUACCUUGUGGCAGGUUGAUUACUCCAAUCUCUGGAAACACCCUGACAUACCCAGAAAUAAUGCUUUACCACUUCUCCAGGUAUUCCUCAAUCCAGUCAACAUGACACCUAAAAUUAAUGAUGACAAGUCCACCUCUUGUCUGUACUUAAUCUACACACCUACACACCUCUCUGUAAACUGAACUUAAUCUCCAAGUAAAGACAAUAACAAGGUAAUAGACCCACCUAACCUGAUACAAUUAUCCUGCAUACAAUAAAAAACUAAUCCCUUACCCAGAAGAUGGGGUAAAGUCCUUGAAUGAUAUUUACUUGUCUCCUGAUAUUUCAUAACUUAAAUACUAUGAUGUAAAAUUAACAAUACUUAAAUACUGAUAUAAAGUGAAUAUAUCUUUUUUUUUUUUGAGACAGAGUCUUGCUGUGUUGCCCAGGCCAGAGUGCAAUGGCAUGAUCUCAGCUAACUGCAACCUCCACUUCCUGAGUUCAAGUGAUUCUCGUGCCUCAGCCUCCUGAGAAGCUGAGAUUACAGGUACGUGCUACCACGCUAAUUUUUUGUAUUUUUAGUAGAGAUGGGGUUCCAUCACUUUGGCCAGGCUGGUCUCCAACUCCUGGCCUCAAGUGAUCUGCCCACCUCAGCCUCCCGAAGUGCUGGAAUAACAGGCGUGAGCCACUGUGCCAGGUCCCUAAAGUCAAUAUAUCUUAUGUUAAAUGAUUAAGAGAGGAAUGAAAACAAAGAUAUUUGUUUAAUAUAUGUGUGUAUACACACACACGCACACACACACACACACACACAAAUGUAUUCUGAACAAAAUACGGAGAAAAUACUGAUGACAAUUACAGUCCUCAUUUCUGUAACUGGUCACACAGUCAUAACUGGUAUUUAUAACUACUUUCUUCCAAUAUCCAUUCUGUAUUCUCUUUGCCCUCAGCAAGCACCUCAGCUAGUCACG
This 2154-nucleotide long non-coding RNA is filed under the name Homo sapiens (human). RNAcentral describes it as "HSALNT0127029". The record is from RNAcentral. Lineage: Eukaryota; Metazoa; Chordata; Mammalia; Primates; Hominidae.